CAGGGUGUGGGGAAGUCUGGCCUAACCCGCGUGCCUUGGGAGCACGAGACCGCUGGUUCAAAUCCAGUCACCCUGAC
Molecule: transfer RNA, 77 nt
Filed under: Gimesia fumaroli
Lineage: Bacteria; Pseudomonadati; Planctomycetota; Planctomycetia; Planctomycetales; Planctomycetaceae
Description: Planctomycetes bacterium Enr17 tRNA-Pro
Rfam family: tRNA
About the family: Transfer RNA (tRNA) molecules are approximately 80 nucleotides in length. Their secondary structure includes four short double-helical elements and three loops (D, anti-codon, and T loops). Further hydrogen bonds mediate the characteristic L-shaped molecular structure. tRNAs have two regions of fundamental functional importance: the anti-codon, which is responsible for specific mRNA codon recognition, and the 3' end, to which the tRNAs corresponding amino acid is attached (by aminoacyl-tRNA synthetases). tRNAs cope with the degeneracy of the genetic code in two manners: having more than one tRNA (with a specific anti-codon) for a particular amino acid; and 'wobble' base-pairing, i.e. permitting non-standard base-pairing at the 3rd anti-codon position.
Source: RNAcentral